AUGCCGCGUGCGCUUGGUGGGAAGGGGAGGGGGAGGGGCGGGGCUCCGGCGAGGCCCAUCGCGGCGAUCCCCGUCGCCGUCGGCGUCAACCGGCGGAUGGCGCUCGAGAUGCGCAAGGCGGGGCUGAUGAACAAGGCGAAGGAGCUCGCGGAGAUGGCCGACGCGCCCGUCGCGGUGCUCUGCUCGGGCCUCGACGGCCAGGGCGCCCUGCAGUGCUGGCCGUCGACGGAGACCGCGAGGGCGGUGGUGGGUCAGUUCCUCGAGCUCCCGAAGGAGGCCCGGAUCACGUUCGAUCAGGCCAGCUACAUCGCGGGCGUGCGCGACGCGCAGGGGUCCAGGCUGGCCGGGGUGCGGGCGGGCGGCCUCGCCGCCGCGCUCGGGCCGUGGGAGAGCCCGCUCGACGGGAUGUCGGAGGACGCGCUCCGGGAGCUGCUCGCUUCCGUCGGCAAGUCCCUUGAUGCCACGCGGAGCAGGAUCCGGAGGCUGCAGACCCAGCGUCGCGAGAGCGUGGCGGAGAACUUCGUGGUGGCGGGGGAGGGUCACGCGAGCGGCGAGGUGCAGGGGACGCGGAGGCAGCCACGGGGCGCCGCCACGGCCCCCGGUGCUGCGCGGAAGAAGCAGCUGGUGGAGGAUCCCAAGGUGAAGCCCGCCGCCGCCGACGGCGCUGCGCGGAGGAAGCAGCUGCUGAAGGAUCCCAAGGAGAAGCCCGCCGCCGCCGAUGGCGCUGCGCGGUGGAAGCAGCUGCUGAAGAAUCACAAGGAGAAGCCCGCCGCCGCCGCCAACGUCCACGCUGCGCGGAGGAAGCAGCUGCUGGAGGGUCCCAAGGAGAAGCCCGUGCGCGCCGCCCCGUUCGACCCCGGGAUGAUCGAGUACUACAUCAACGUGGGCGGGUGCGUGAUGGAGCGCGACGCCUACGACUUCAUCCGGUACGACCUCGGGAUGCUCCCGCCCAGCCUCGAGCCCGAGCCGCCGGAGCCGGACUACGACGAUCCGCCGCGGCUGUGGUCGUGGGACGACUCCUCCUUCCCCCAGAGCGCGCCGCCGCCCAAGUGA
RNAcentral lists this ribosomal RNA (1053 nucleotides) under Triticum aestivum (bread wheat). RNAcentral describes it as "partial small subunit ribosomal RNA". Lineage: Eukaryota; Viridiplantae; Streptophyta; Magnoliopsida; Poales; Poaceae. The record is from RNAcentral.